GAGAGAGAGAGAGAGAGAGGCCAUUCUAUUACUCAAUCAAAGACAUCUGAUCUGAGAAUUAUAAAAAUUCUCACAAAAAAUCUUCUUGCUUAUGUUAUUUAAAUUAAGGAAAAGCAAAGGUUAGCUCCACUUUGAGGCUAUGGAUGGAUUGAUGAAUGGAGAUAAUGAACUAAGAAAGUAAAGUGGAGGAGAUCAAUAAAGGAAAAACAAAGGUUGACUCUAAUCUGAGGCUAUAACAGGAUUGAGAAGAUUUGAAUGGAAAAGAAGUGAAGUGGAGGGAGAAUAAUUCCAAAGAUGAGCUGCCAUGAGGCACUUCAAGUGUGUUUGCAAGCAUCAUGCCAGUAGAAGUAUGAACUUUCUUUAAAUAGAAAAGAGAUGCAGGGUUCUACACAAUUUAGAGCGCAAUGCUGUGCAAGUGCAAGCAAGGUGCUAAGGGGUGAGCAGGUGUCAAAUAGUAAUACUAGGUAUGCUCUAUGUGCGCAAGUUGUCAAGUGCUCCAUAUUUUAAGUGGAAAUUGGCAUGCUUAAUUACUAGCAUAUGGCAAUAACAAGUGUGAGGGCAUGAUGUGAUCUAGUGGUGGUACUACUAUCAAUACUUUCCUUCAUAGGUUCACACAACAGUCAACUUAUCUUCAGUAAUUCACCACAUGCUGCCACAUUUCACUUAACAUUUUCCUUCAAAGCUUCCAAAUUACUCACCAAAAGUGGAGAGCUUAAAAGAGAAACAAUACCAACUAUAUAUAAUUUUCAUUUUCAAUAUUUCAAGAUAAGGGCAAUCACCAUGCAUCUUUUAUCAUGCUUCAUUUCCUUUUUGUCCUUUUCUUCUUUUUUUUUCCCCCAUGAUUCCAACUAAUACAAAAUUUGAAAUUAAUUUACUGGUAUUCCUUCUUCACCUCUUGGUUAAUUUUUCGACUAUCUUCUUCCAUAAAUAAUGUUGCAUAAGAUUGACAAUCACAUAUGGAUUAUAUUUUGAGUGUCUAGCACAGUAAAGUUAUAUAUCAUAGCUGGCUGACGUUUGCUCCGUCUAUUAUAAAGAUUGACAAUCACAUACUUGAUUUUGCAUAACUGUUAAAUAAAUCAAAAGCAGAAAUACCAUUUCAU
Molecule: unclassified non-coding RNA, 1100 nt
Filed under: Hevea brasiliensis (rubber tree)
Lineage: Eukaryota; Viridiplantae; Streptophyta; Magnoliopsida; Malpighiales; Euphorbiaceae
Source: RNAcentral